UUUUCUCCUUCCCCCCGGAGUU
Molecule: microRNA, 22 nt
Filed under: Gallid alphaherpesvirus 2
Lineage: Duplodnaviria; Heunggongvirae; Peploviricota; Herviviricetes; Herpesvirales; Orthoherpesviridae
Description: mdv1-miR-M9-5p
Gene: mdv1-miR-M9-5p
Source: miRBase by way of RNAcentral